This 396-nucleotide unclassified non-coding RNA is filed under the name soil metagenome. RNAcentral's name for it is "partial contains 5.8S ribosomal RNA, internal transcribed spacer 2, and large subunit ribosomal RNA". The stretch from base 1 to 122 matches the Rfam family "5.8S ribosomal RNA", at positions 35 to 154 of the family's 154-position model. The record is from RNAcentral.
GAUGAAGAACGCAGCGAAAUGCGAUAAGUAAUGUGAAUUGCAGAAUUUUGUGAAUCAUCGAAUCUUUGAACGCAAGUUGCGCCCGAAGCCAUUAGGCCGAGGGCACGCCUGCCUGGGUGUCACACACCGUUACCCUCGCGCCAACGUCCAUCGUUGGCCGCGGCGCGGGGCGUGCGCUGACCUCCCGCGAGCGGGGUCUCGUGGUUGGUUGAAAAUCGAGUUCGCGGUCGAGGGUGCCGUGAUGAAAUGGUGGAUGGGCGACGCCCGAGGCCAAUCACGCGCGACUCUGUCCGGCUCGGACUCCUGGACCCCUUCGGCGUCUCCGGACGCUCUUUGGCGAGACCUCAGGUCAGGCGGGGCUACCCGCUGAGUUUAAGCAUAUCAAUAAGCGGAGGA